GAUGAACGCUGGCGGCGUGCCUAACACAUGCAAGUCGAACGGAGUUGUCACCAUGAAGUUUUCGGAUGGAUUGGUAACAACUUAGUGGCGGACGGGUGAGUAACGCGUGGGUAACCUGCCUCAUACUGGGGGAUAACAGCUGGAAACGGCUGCUAAAACCGCAUAAGAUCGCAUCACCGCAUGGUGAAGCGGUUAAAUAUCGAAAGAUAGGUAUGAGAUGGGCCCGCGUCCCAUCAGCUAGUUGGUGAGGUAACAGCUCACCAAGGCGACGACGGGUAGCCGGCCUGAGAGGGUGACCGGCCACACUGGGACUGAGAUACGGCCCAGACUCCUACGGGAGGCAGCAGCUAAGAAUAUUCCGCAAUGGACGAAAGUCUGACGGAGCGACGCCGCGUGGAUGAAGAAGGCCGAAAGGUUGUAAAGUUCUUUUGCUAGGGGAGAAUAAGUGAGGGAGGGAAUGCCCUCAUGAUGACAAGGACUAGCGAAUAAGCCCCGGCCAACUACG
RNAcentral lists this ribosomal RNA (505 nucleotides) under uncultured bacterium. RNAcentral's name for it is "bacterial SSU rRNA". It matches the Rfam family "Bacterial small subunit ribosomal RNA", at positions 28 to 505 of the family's 1533-position model. The record is from RNAcentral.